This is a small nucleolar RNA of Rhinopithecus bieti (black snub-nosed monkey), 208 nucleotides long. Its record names the gene U3. It matches the Rfam family "Small nucleolar RNA U3". Rfam says of the family: Small nucleolar RNAs (snoRNAs) are involved in the processing and modification of rRNA in the nucleolus. There are two main classes of snoRNAs: the box C/D class, and the box H/ACA class. Lineage: Eukaryota; Metazoa; Chordata; Mammalia; Primates; Cercopithecidae. The record is from Ensembl.
AAGACUAUACUUUCAGGGAUCAUUUCUACAGUUCAUUACUAGAGAAGUUUCUCUAAAUGUGUGGAGCACCAGAAACUAUGAGGAGGAGGCACAGAGUUCUCUUCUGAGCAUGAAGCUGGCGCUUGGUGUUGCAGCUGCCAUUUACCAUUGGUGAUUGUUCUUGUCUUCCUCUUGGAGUGGAAGAGAAAGACAAUGCAGUCUGAGUGGU